GCGGGGUUAGCAUAAUGGAAAUGCAGUAGGCUUUGAACCUAUUGAUAGUUGUUCGAAUCAACUACCCUGUGCCA
Molecule: transfer RNA, 74 nt
Filed under: Methanobrevibacter sp.
Lineage: Archaea; Methanobacteriati; Methanobacteriota; Methanobacteria; Methanobacteriales; Methanobacteriaceae
Description: tRNA-Gln
Rfam family: tRNA
About the family: Transfer RNA (tRNA) molecules are approximately 80 nucleotides in length. Their secondary structure includes four short double-helical elements and three loops (D, anti-codon, and T loops).
Source: RNAcentral